UAGGGAAUCUUCCGCAAUGGGCGAAAGCCUGACGGAGCAAUGCCGCGUGAGUGAAGAAGGCCUUCGGGUCGUAAAACUCUGUUAUAAGAGAAGAAUAAAUUGUAGAGUAACUGCUACAGUCUUGACGGUAUCUUAUCAGAAAGCCACGGCUAACUACGUGCCAGCAGCCGCGGUAAUACGUAGGUGGCAAGCGUUGUCCGGAUUUAUUGGGCGUAAAGGGAGCGCAGGUGGUUUCUUAAGUCUGAUGUGAAAGCCCACGGCUUAACCGUGGAGGGUCAUUGGAAACUGGGAAACUUGAGUACAGAAGAGGAAUGUGGAACUCCAUGUGUAGCGGUGGAAUGCGUAGAUAUAUGGAAGAACACCAGUGGCGAAGGCGACAUUCUGGUCUGUUACUGACACUGAGGCUCGAAAGCGUGGGGAGCAAACAGG
RNAcentral lists this ribosomal RNA (429 nucleotides) under Acidobacteriota bacterium. RNAcentral describes it as "Acidobacteria bacterium partial 16S ribosomal RNA". It matches the Rfam family "Bacterial small subunit ribosomal RNA", at positions 355 to 776 of the family's 1533-position model. Lineage: Bacteria; Pseudomonadati; Acidobacteriota. The record is from RNAcentral.